Long non-coding RNA from Bombus pyrosoma, 613 nucleotides. RefSeq lists it as uncharacterized. NCBI's taxonomy places the organism in Eukaryota, Metazoa, Arthropoda, Insecta, Hymenoptera, Apidae. The transcript is spliced from 3 exons. The record is from RefSeq and is a predicted model, not a curated record.
CCUUAAAAUACGAUACAAAAUACUUAAGUACACAAAUUAAAAAGACGCAUUUUCAAGACCCUCAACAACAAAUGUUUCAACUGAGAGUAAAAUACGUACAACGAAAAUAAUUAAAUAAACCAUAUACGUCAGCGUGUAGUCAGCAUACGUCCAAUCGAUGCACUAUCGUCCUAAAUUUUCUCUAUAAGCCAGUCAGAUCCGUUAACUCAUAUCCCGAAUGGAAUCGAGGGCAAACUCCGAAGCGAACUCCGAAGCGAACUCCGAAGCGAACUUCGAAGCGAACUCCGAAGACAACUACGACGAUAGCAAGUCAUAUUGAUUCCUCUGAGCGAGAAUGUCUCGGUGUGACUAAGGCCUGUGUAUAUCGGAUAUACUGCAAGGGGAUAUUGCCGACGGCGUCAUUACCUUCACGCCUGUUUCAUUAAUUUCCCAGAGGAAGUUGGGCACAUAAUUUUCAAACGGACUACGCCUGAGAAUAUAAAUUUGAACUGCACGAUAUGCGAUGGACGAAUUAACGCGACCGUGACACCAUACUACAGGCACAUACACUCGUGUGUUCCAUUUGGACAUACGGCUCAACUAUGUAUAUAUACGGAGAGUUUAGAAUGGAAAU